CCUUACCUUCAUUCUUACUGUUCUCAUUCAGUACUGGUGGUGGAGCAGAUGAUGAUGAUGAGUUUGACAUUGAUAUUCCAAGGUCAGAGCAACCCAUGCCAAUGGAGCCUUCAAAUUCAAAUUUAAAAUCUCAAGGUUUGGGUGCCUCCUUUUCUCCCAAAGUUUGACAUUUGGGUCCAUAGGAGUGUCAGCGGGCUUACAACCAUUCAUACAUGUCUCUUGUAGGAGAUCAAGAACAUAUUUUCUCCGAGAAACAACAUUUCCUUUUUUCGAUCUUGCUACUUCCAUGUCAAGGAAAUAUUUGAGGGGACCCAAAUCUUUGAUUUCAAAAUCUACUACUAAGUUUUUCUUUAAUCUCUCCAUUUACGCCUCAUCAUUACCUUUAAGAACAUUAUCAUCAAUAUAUACACUUCAAGCACAUCUUAUGUAGCUUGUGAUAUAAGUUCUUCCAUCAUGACUCUUGAGCUAUGAAUCUUUAUGGGGA
This 484-nucleotide long non-coding RNA is filed under the name Medicago truncatula (barrel medic). RNAcentral describes it as "lncRNA gene2087". The record is from RNAcentral. Lineage: Eukaryota; Viridiplantae; Streptophyta; Magnoliopsida; Fabales; Fabaceae.